This 186-nucleotide ribosomal RNA is filed under the name marine snow associated bacterium Adriatic72. RNAcentral's name for it is "partial 16S ribosomal RNA". It matches the Rfam family "Bacterial small subunit ribosomal RNA", at positions 256 to 443 of the family's 1533-position model. The record is from RNAcentral.
GGUAAUGGCCUACCAAGUCUACGAUCUUUAGCUGGUUUGAGAGGAUGAUCAGGCACAAUGGGACUGAGACGGCCCAGACUCCUACGGGAGGCAGCAGUGGGNAAUCUUAGACAAUGGGNNAAACCCUGAUCUAGCCAUGCCGCGUGAGUGACGAAGGCCUUAGGGUCGUAAAGCUCUUUCGCUGGG